UACGUAGGGGGCAAGCGUUGUCCGGAAUCAUUGGGCGUAAAGAGCGUGUAGGCGGCCCGAUAAGUCCGCUGUGAAAGUCCAGGGCUCAACCCUGGAAUGCCGGUGGAAACUGUCGGGCUGGAGUCCGGAAGAGGCGAGUGGAAUUCCUGGUGUAGCGGUGAAAUGCGCAGAUAUCAGGAGGAACACCAAUGGCGAAGGCAGCUCGCUGGGACGGUACUGACGCUGAGACGCGAAAGCGUGGGGAGCAAACAGG
RNAcentral lists this ribosomal RNA (253 nucleotides) under uncultured bacterium. Its description in RNAcentral is "partial 16S ribosomal RNA". It matches the Rfam family "Bacterial small subunit ribosomal RNA", at positions 524 to 776 of the family's 1533-position model. The record is from RNAcentral.